GAUGCCGUACGGCCAGGUCGGGCCGGCGGGCCGCCACCUCGCGGAAACAGCGCUGCCACAGCGCGCCGUUGUUCGGUACGGCGUUGGCCUUG
Molecule: transfer RNA, 92 nt
Filed under: Streptomyces acidiscabies
Lineage: Bacteria; Bacillati; Actinomycetota; Actinomycetes; Kitasatosporales; Streptomycetaceae
Description: tRNA-Gly
Source: RNAcentral